UGCAAUUUUCGACGCGAUGGUUGCCGGCGAUCGAGAAACCGCUGGCAUUAAAAGGGAACACGGUGAGGCGUACCCAGCAGGGACCGAGACCGUGGCUGCCCCCGCAACUGUGAGCGGAAAGCCGACCGCACAUGCCACUGCCCGGAUUUCGGGUGGGAAGGCGCGCAUCGGCGACGACCCGCGAGCCAGGAGACCUGCCAUCCAGGCGCAACACUU
This 216-nucleotide non-coding RNA is filed under the name Stappia sp. RNAcentral also lists the same sequence under 1 other name. Lineage: Bacteria; Pseudomonadati; Pseudomonadota; Alphaproteobacteria; Hyphomicrobiales; Stappiaceae. The record is from RNAcentral.